Podarcis raffonei (Aeolian wall lizard) is the source of this 1026-nucleotide long non-coding RNA. RefSeq lists it as uncharacterized. Lineage: Eukaryota; Metazoa; Chordata; Lepidosauria; Squamata; Lacertidae. The record is from RefSeq and is a predicted model, not a curated record. The transcript has 2 exons.
AGCAGUUGUCCAUCAAAGCUUCAGAGUCUUCUCCAGUUGUCAGCCUUUCCAGAAUUGACGGUGAAGAAAACUCAUUGCCCACACAAUUCAGUGCAAAGUGUUAUGUUGCCUCAAGACACAAUACAAUCCAAACACACUAUAUACAUAAAGUUAGAAGAUGCUGGUGCAUCGUAAACUAUGCUACCAAGUACCGUAACCUGCUCUUAGAGGUUAAACUGAAGAGAUCCAAGUUCAGAGAGAGAUCCACCACUUUCACCAUUCACUACCAGGUUGCUGCAUGCAGCCUUGGUGGAGUGUUGAUAAGUCAUGGCUGAGGCCUGUGGCCUUGGGCUGUUUCAAGAGGCCCACCACAACUGACGUCCUAACCCUGAACAUUGGACAUGGGGGAAGGGUACCGGUAACUAAAGACACAGACUAAGCAGCUACUGCAAUUUCACACAUUUUCAAAUUACACCAACAUGAGCAUCCCAAUUGCCACUAUUGGCUAGGCAGGAAAAUCUACAUGUCACAGGUGAGCUCUGGGGGGAGGAGGGGUAAUUUAGGGGAAAUGAUACAGCGGGAAAGGCUUACACACUUGCCACAGCCAUUCAAUUCACCCCUCUUUCAGCUUUAUUAUUAUUAUUAAAUAAUGGAAAUAGAAUGAGAGUGGUAACACCUAUUUCCACAACAACCCUGUGAGGUAGGUUAGACAGAUGACUGAUCCAAGGUCACCAAAGUGAGCUUAACAGCUGAGUGCAGCUUUUAGCCUGUGUCUCUGUAGCCUAACAGAAUUUGCAUGAGAUAUUUACAUAGAGGUGCAGAGGUAUUUCAAAUUUCAAGGAAAUCAAAUGAAAAAAUCCCCACUGCUGUGACAGCAACAUUAAAGGCAGAAUUUUGUUGUUCCGUCCUUAGUUACAGCUCCAAUUUCUAGCUUCCACUUGAAGACCACCAUAGGCAAGACCCCCAGCAUUCAAUUGAAUACCAGAAAUCAUUGAUGUAACUCUCCCUCGCUCCCUAUAUAAGGGAGGGGAGAGAAAUACCUUUUUU